Fundulus heteroclitus (mummichog) is the source of this 534-nucleotide long non-coding RNA. RefSeq lists it as uncharacterized. NCBI's taxonomy places the organism in Eukaryota, Metazoa, Chordata, Actinopteri, Cyprinodontiformes, Fundulidae. The transcript is spliced from 3 exons. The record is from RefSeq and is a predicted model, not a curated record.
AACCGCAGCGUGAACAGGGGAGGACGCACCUAUUCCAGUUGCACAAUGCUGAGAGAGGAUAGGCGAAACCCUGGACCACCAACGGGAAAUUGGCAAUCUGUGGGAGGCUGUGAAUGGGCCGCUAUGGUUCGACAAUCCACAAACAGCUGGGGGUCGUGGAAACAGGGGCUACCAGGGUACAAAGCGACGCAUCAGUGGCCAACCAUGGGAAAGAGCUGUCAACACACUGGCCCAGCUGGCAGCGCACAAGGUUCCCACGGGACCCACAGUCGACUGAAGUGGAGAGUUAAGGAUGCUGAGGGAUGAUAAGGGAUACCGGCAGGAGCAGCCAAAUCUUGACUCUGAUGAACCUCUGUCGACAAGAUGAAUAGUUGGCCCUGGAUCAAAGGCAGACUCCAGCCGGCCAUUCUGACCACCACAAAGGGGCGUUGGGCUCUGGCGUGGGGCCAGGUGCUACACAUGGUCACAUGGGGACAAGCAGUGCAGAUGGGCCCUGCGGAGGCCUUGUCGCCCUCCACCCCCCAUGGCUGCAUA